GUCCCUGGGGUCUAGUGGUUAAGACUCUGCACUUGCAAUGCGGGGGCACGGGUUUGAUCCCUGGUGGGGAAC
This 72-nucleotide transfer RNA is filed under the name Ovis aries (sheep). It matches the Rfam family "tRNA". From Rfam's summary of the family: Transfer RNA (tRNA) molecules are approximately 80 nucleotides in length. Their secondary structure includes four short double-helical elements and three loops (D, anti-codon, and T loops). Lineage: Eukaryota; Metazoa; Chordata; Mammalia; Artiodactyla; Bovidae. The record is from Rfam by way of RNAcentral.